This is a long non-coding RNA of Manis javanica (Malayan pangolin), 1138 nucleotides long. RefSeq lists it as uncharacterized. The record is from RefSeq and is a predicted model, not a curated record. Lineage: Eukaryota; Metazoa; Chordata; Mammalia; Pholidota; Manidae.
CCGCCGUCUCGGCUCCCUCCCUCCGCAGCUUGACCCGGUAGUGAAGGCGGAGAGAGAGGCAGGCUGGGUCCGCCUGGCAGCCUGCGAGAGGAGGCGGGAGUGGGAAAGGAGGGGAACCGAGGCCCGGCGUGGGGCUGUGAGCCCAGUGAGGACCUUUCUUCAGCCUGUGCGCGGCCGAGCGGUGUGCCGGGAUAUCCCGAGCGUUUGAGGGCGCCCGGAGUUCCUCAGACCGGGGCUCGGCUCAAGCAGAAAUAGCGAGACCCGGGCGCGUUGCGUGCCCCAGUGCCCGGGGCUGCGGCUCGAGCGCGGCGAGGCUCCAGGCACGAGAUCCUGCCGUGAGGACGCCGGGCGGGCGGCCGGGACCCGGCGUGGACUGCGGGAGCAGGCCGGGAGCCGGGGGAGGCGUAGGAGUUCGCUAUGUAGAGCGGCUUUGUCUCCACGUUUCAGUCAAACUCCCUGCGGAGUUCUCAGAAUUCCCCCUGCGAGGAGCGGAAAGUUAGAAAACUGCAGGCUGGGCGCGCUGCCAGAGAGGGAGGCGGGCGAAGCCGCAGCACAGGCCCGGGGCAGGCCCAGCGCGCGUCAGGCCGGGCGCACUUCGCGGAGGGGCGGAGUUGUGAAAAGCAAUCCCGCGGCGGCGGGGAAGGGUCUUCGCUUUUUGUUGGGAAAAACGGAAAUACCGGGGCUUUAGGGUAAGGGGCGGGGGCGGUUGCAGUGAGCAGCCUCCUCUGGGCCAAAACCAGAGAACUGCGGCCGAGACGGCCGGGCCACGCCCUCGCCCCGGAGAGCCCUCAGACCCGGCUGCUACCCCGGGAAGGAACCUUAAGAUGACCCGACCCGAGAGCCACCUGCUGUAGAGAAAGAAAAGAAGGCUCCCACGGUGAACGUGGCGGCAGAAUCGAGGCAGAACCCAGCUCGCUGGCCCACAACCAGGCCCCCUUCCCUUCACCAAGAUUGCAGCCGGGAAGAGCCUACAGCACAAAUGAAGAGGGAGAAGUCAUCUUGCCUCUGUGAUUAGAUAAGCAUGAAGAUAAAGCUCCCCUGUGAGGAUGAUGAAGCAAAAUGGUAGAAGGGGCCUAGACUCCCUUCCUUCGGACAUCUUGUUGUGGGGAAAAUAAAAUACUAUUACAAGGUUAAGCUA